Molecule: ribosomal RNA, 1361 nt
Filed under: Mycobacterium sp. FXJ1.509
Lineage: Bacteria; Bacillati; Actinomycetota; Actinomycetes; Mycobacteriales; Mycobacteriaceae
Description: bacterial SSU rRNA
Rfam family: Bacterial small subunit ribosomal RNA
Source: RNAcentral
GGAAAGGCCCUUCGGGGUACUCGAGUGGCGAACGGGUGAGUAACACGUGGGUGAUCUGCCCUGCACUUUGGGAUAAGCCUGGGAAACUGGGUCUAAUACCGAAUAGGACCGCGCUCUUCAUGGGGUGUGGUGGAAAGCUUUUGCGGUGUGGGAUGGGCCCGCGGCCUAUCAGCUUGUUGGUGGGGUAAUGGCCUACCAAGGCGACGACGGGUAGCCGGCCUGAGAGGGUGACCGGCCACACUGGGACUGAGAUACGGCCCAGACUCCUACGGGAGGCAGCAGUGGGGAAUAUUGCACAAUGGGCGCAAGCCUGAUGCAGCGACGCCGCGUGAGGGAUGACGGCCUUCGGGUUGUAAACCUCUUUCAAUAGGGACGAAGCGCAAGUGACGGUACCUAUAGAAGAAGGACCGGCCAACUACGUGCCAGCAGCCGCGGUAAUACGUAGGGUCCGAGCGUUGUCCGGAAUUACUGGGCGUAAAGAGCUCGUAGGUGGUUUGUCGCGUUGUUCGUGAAAACUCACAGCUUAACUGUGGGCGUGCGGGCGAUACGGGCAGACUAGAGUACUGCAGGGGAGACUGGAAUUCCUGGUGUAGCGGUGGAAUGCGCAGAUAUCAGGAGGAACACCGGUGGCGAAGGCGGGUCUCUGGGCAGUAACUGACGCUGAGGAGCGAAAGCGUGGGGAGCGAACAGGAUUAGAUACCCUGGUAGUCCACGCCGUAAACGGUGGGUACUAGGUGUGGGUUUCCUUCCUUGGGAUCCGUGCCGUAGCUAACGCAUUAAGUACCCCGCCUGGGGAGUACGGCCGCAAGGCUAAAACUCAAAGGAAUUGACGGGGGCCCGCACAAGCGGCGGAGCAUGUGGAUUAAUUCGAUGCAACGCGAAGAACCUUACCUGGGUUUGACAUGCACAGGACGCCAGUAGAGAUAUUGGUUCCCUUGUGGCCUGUGUGCAGGUGGUGCAUGGCUGUCGUCAGCUCGUGUCGUGAGAUGUUGGGUUAAGUCCCGCAACGAGCGCAACCCUUGUCUCAUGUUGCCAGCACGUUAUGGUGGGGACUCGUGAGAGACUGCCGGGGUCAACUCGGAGGAAGGUGGGGAUGACGUCAAGUCAUCAUGCCCCUUAUGUCCAGGGCUUCACACAUGCUACAAUGGCCGGUACAAAGGGCUGCGAUGCCGUGAGGUGGAGCGAAUCCUUUCAAAGCCGGUCUCAGUUCGGAUCGGGGUCUGCAACUCGACCCCGUGAAGUCGGAGUCGCUAGUAAUCGCAGAUCAGCAACGCUGCGGUGAAUACGUUCCCGGGCCUUGUACACACCGCCCGUCACGUCAUGAAAGUCGGUAACACCCGAAGCCGGUGGCCUAACCCUUG